This is a long non-coding RNA of Ipomoea nil (Japanese morning glory), 768 nucleotides long. RefSeq lists it as uncharacterized. The transcript has 3 exons. Lineage: Eukaryota; Viridiplantae; Streptophyta; Magnoliopsida; Solanales; Convolvulaceae. The record is from RefSeq and is a predicted model, not a curated record.
AGGUUACUUCAAUUUCUUGCGUCUUCCUGCCUUUUCUUCUCUGCUUAAUAAGUCCAAGAGUUGGUAUGCGAUAAUUGUUCCUUUCCUGCAAAAAUUCUUCAAUAUUUAUCACUUUCAUGUUUUAUUUUCAUUGUCUUCAGAUUCUUUUAGUAACAGCUGGUAUCCACUCACUGCAUAUUCUCUGCCAAGAGCAAUGUCAGAUAAUGGAGGAAUGGAGGAUUAGCAUGUUGAAUUAUCAAGAAAAUGAUUACAAUUUCUGUCUUCAUGGAUAUGAUAAGAAGAGCGAAAUACUCACUCUCGGCACCUCCAAGCUGAGCGACUGCAUCAAUGAAUCGCUGGUGAAGCUCCGGAGUCCAUUUCAGUCUCGGCUUUGGAUCACUGGAUAAAACCAGGGUCGAAGGAAUCAAAGAAUCUAUCUAUAGAUUUAAAGACAAAGUUGCCGUAUUUACGUUAUCAAGAAGUUCUGUAUGGGGAGAUAAGACUUUUAAGAGCGUAGAAAAUCAAACAUUUCAUAACUAGUAUACGUAGCUGGCUAUCAUUAAUUCAUUAUUCGUACAUAUUCCUGUUCUUUCUUCUGUUUUUUCAUGCUAUCAUCGGAUAGAAUUAAAGUAUAUUCCUCUACCAUACUAUACUAUGUAAUACGUGUGAAGAUGGGGUUACAAUUUAGAACAAAUGUAUUUUAUAACGACAAACACUAACAAGAAAUCCUAUACCCUUAGUUGUCUGUUUUCAUAUUUUGUUUGAUAAUAAUUCAGAUUAUUGGACUAA